GACCAUAAACAAUGUCGACCAGGAGUGGAGCCUGCGGCUUAAUUUGACUCAACACGGGGAAACUUACCAGGUCCAGACAUAGUAAGGAUUGACAGACUGAGAGCUCUUUCUUGAUUCUAUAGGUGGUGGUGUAUGGCCGUUCUUAGUUGGUGGAGCGAUUUGUCUGGUUAAUUCCGUUAACGAAUGAGACCUCAGCGUGCUAACUAGCUAUGCGGAGGUAUCCCUUCGCGGCCAGCUUCUUAGAGGGACUACGGCCUUUUAGGCCGCAGAAGUUUGAGGCAAUAACAGGUCUGUGAUGCCCUUAGAUUUUCUGGGCCGCACGAGCGCUACACUGAUGUAUUCAACGAGUUUACAGCCUUGGCCGACAGGCCCGAGUAAUCUUUGAAAUUUCAUCGUGAUGGGGAUAGAUCAUUGCAAUUGUUGGUCUUCAACGAGGAAUUCCUAGUAAGCGCGAGUCAUCAGCUCGCGUUGACUACGUCCCUGCCCUUUGUACACACCGCCUGUCGCUCCUACCGAUUGAAUGAUCCGGUGAAAUGUUCGGAUCGCAGCGACGUGGGCGGUUCGCUGCCCGCGACGUCGCGAGAAGUCCAUUGAACCUUAUCAUUUAGAGGAAGGAGAAGUCGUAACAAGGUUUCCGUAGGUGAACCUGCGGAAG
Molecule: non-coding RNA, 655 nt
Filed under: Nicotiana attenuata
Lineage: Eukaryota; Viridiplantae; Streptophyta; Magnoliopsida; Solanales; Solanaceae
Description: rRNA SSU_rRNA_eukarya
Rfam family: Eukaryotic small subunit ribosomal RNA
Source: Rfam by way of RNAcentral